AGCAGCCGCGGUAAUUCCAGCUCCAAUAGCGUAUAUUAAAGUUGUUGCAGUUAAAAAGCUCGUAGUUGAAUUUCGGGGUUAGCAGGUCGGUCGUGCCAUUGGUAUGAACUGGUCUCGCUGAUCCCUCCCUCUUGACGAACUGUGAUGCCAUUAAUUUGGUGUCGCAGGGAAUCAGGACUGUUACUUUGAAAAAAUUAGAGUGUUUAAAGCAGGCUUUCGCUUGAAUACAUUAGCAUGGAAUAAUGAAAUAGGACGUUUGAUCUUAUUUUGUUGGUUUCUAGGAUUGACGUAAUGAUUAAUAGGGAUAGUUGGGGGCAUUAGUAUUCAAUUGUCAGAGGUGAAAUUCUUGGAUUUAUUGAAGACUAACUACUGCGAAAGCAUUUGCCAAGGAUGUUUUCAUUAAUCAAGAACGAAAGUUAGGGGAUCGAAGACGAUCAGAUACCGUCGUAGUCUUAACCAUAAACUAUGCCGACUAGGGAUCGGAUGAUGUUAAUUUUUUAAUGACUCAUUCGGCGCCUUACG
This 522-nucleotide ribosomal RNA is filed under the name uncultured Glomeromycotina. RNAcentral describes it as "SSU rRNA". It matches the Rfam family "Eukaryotic small subunit ribosomal RNA", at positions 569 to 1092 of the family's 1831-position model. The record is from RNAcentral. Lineage: Eukaryota; Fungi; Glomeromycota.